GUAGUGAGCCCAAUUCUAAGACACAGGUUUCCAGGACACAGCUGCCAUGUAUAAUUCACCUUGGGAGAGGGACUUGAAGAUGCAGUUUUGGGGUCCACAUCCACAGAGACUACAAAUCACACAGAAACACAUUACUGACAGUGAGCGGAAGGUUUUCCACAUGCUUGGACACAUUUAUCUGUGCUUGUGAAUUUAUCAGUCCAUUCAACAUAUCCGUCUCCAUUCUGGAUCAAAUUCAAGAAUCAAUUUUACAGAUAAUGGCUGCUGUUCACCACUGUGCUGCCUGCAGCUAAAGAAAUAAAGAACAUGUACCAUCGUCCUGCUGUCAUCGAAAACAGACAAUCCCACAAUGUUCUGUUAAUAAAUGCAGAAUUACAACAACUUUAA
This is a long non-coding RNA of Acanthopagrus latus (yellowfin seabream), 387 nucleotides long. RefSeq lists it as uncharacterized. NCBI's taxonomy places the organism in Eukaryota, Metazoa, Chordata, Actinopteri, Spariformes, Sparidae. The record is from RefSeq and is a predicted model, not a curated record. The transcript is spliced from 3 exons.